RNAcentral lists this small RNA (19 nucleotides) under Arabidopsis thaliana (thale cress). RNAcentral describes it as "ATSL070400". Lineage: Eukaryota; Viridiplantae; Streptophyta; Magnoliopsida; Brassicales; Brassicaceae. The record is from RNAcentral.
CUCAUAGUCGUAUCGAGUG